GACGAACGCUGGCGGCGUGCUUAACACAUGCAAGUCGAACGGAAAGGCCCUGCUUUUGUGGGGUGCUCGAGUGGCGAACGGGUGAGUAACACGUGAGUAACCUGCCCUUGACUUUGGGAUAACUUCAGGAAACUGGGGCUAAUACCGGAUAGGAGCUCCUGCUGCAUGGUGGGGGCUGGAAAGUUUCGGCGGUUGGGGAUGGACUCGCGGCUUAUCAGCUUGUUGGUGGGGUAGUGGCUUACCAAGGCUUUGACGGGUAGCCGGCCUGAGAGGGUGACCGGCCACAUUGGGACUGGGAUACGGCCCAGACUCCUACGGGAGGCAGCAGUGGGGAAUAUUGCACAAUGGGCGGAAGCCUGAUGCAGCAACGCCGCGUGCGGGAUGACGGCCUUCGGGUUGUAAACCGCUUUCGCCUGUGACGAAGCGUGAGUGACGGUAAUGGGUAAAGAAGCACCGGCUAACUACGU
This 467-nucleotide ribosomal RNA is filed under the name uncultured bacterium. Its description in RNAcentral is "partial 16S ribosomal RNA". It matches the Rfam family "Bacterial small subunit ribosomal RNA", at positions 28 to 506 of the family's 1533-position model. The record is from RNAcentral.